GAUGAACGCUGGCGGCGUGCUUAAUACAUGCAAGUCGAGCGAACGGACGAGAAGCUUGCUUCGCUGAUGUUAGCGGCGGACGGGUGAGUAACACGUGGAUAACCUAUCUAUCAGACUGGGAUCACUGAGAGAAACCGGAGCUAAUACCGGAUGAUAUUUUCAACCGCAUGGUUCAAGAGUGAAAGACGGGCUUUCUGUCACUUAUAGAUGGAUCCGCGCUGCAUUAGCUAGUUGGUAAGGUAACGGCUUACCAAGGCAACGAUGCAUAGCCGACCUGAGAGAGUGGUAGGCCACACGGGAGCGGAGACGCGGACACGGCUCCUACGAGAGGGAGCAGAAGGGAAUCGUAGGCAGUGGGCGAGAGCAUGGCGGAACAACGCCAAGCGAGAGGUGGAGGUGUUCGGAUCGUGAAAAUCUGUUAUUAGGGAAGAACAUAUGUGUAAGUAACUGUACACAUCGUAACGGUACCUGAUCAGAAAGCCACGGCUAACUACGUG
RNAcentral lists this ribosomal RNA (497 nucleotides) under uncultured bacterium. Its description in RNAcentral is "partial 16S ribosomal RNA". It matches the Rfam family "Bacterial small subunit ribosomal RNA", at positions 28 to 507 of the family's 1533-position model. The record is from RNAcentral.